Homo sapiens (human) is the source of this 2736-nucleotide long non-coding RNA. The record is from Ensembl. Lineage: Eukaryota; Metazoa; Chordata; Mammalia; Primates; Hominidae.
ACUGAUUCCUGCUAAACUUGCAUCAUCUGAUGGCCUGUGCAUCCAAAGAACUGAGGUUAUUUUUAGGAAGAAAGAACAGUGCUCUGCUGUAUACAGUGAGGAGCAAGGAAAGCACGUCCCACACACAGACCCACAGAUAAAUGGGUGUGGAGAGAAAAAUAGUUAUUUAGAGAUGAUAGCCAGGUUUCAGUUAAAACUAGAAGAAUGGCUCUGUGAGACAGGCCCUCCACUCUCCUGUAGAUCCUGUUGUAAGUGAUGCAGAAGCCAGAGAGAAGGUUGCUCUCCAUCGGAAACAUGAGGAGUUUCGGAGACCUCCCUAAAAUAUUUGGCCUGAAAGGGUUUGAAGCCAGGAGGAGAGAUGCAGUCUUAGGAGAAACGUUUCAUGAGCUGUAGCAGGUACCCUAUCAGUCUUUCUCAGAAUAAAGAAGCCUAUAUUCAUAAGAAUGCUGAUUCUUAAAGGGCUAGAAAGGCCAGUUGAAGAAGGCCAGUCUGUAGAGAUGCCUGGGAAUUCUUUGAUCUUUUUGGAGGCUAAAGGAAGUAAAAUUCUGCUAUGGAAAUUGUCCUAUUAUAUUUCUGCUUUCAAGAAGUGGCUACAAGAUUAUGAGGUUUUGCAAUGUUGCCCUCCUAGUCCUGUGUACAUUGCUGUAAAGACUCCCAGGCAUGGAGGCCAUCACUGGCACUGUUCCUCUCAGCAGUUAUUUGGGUGUGAAGUUCCUCACUCCUGCAAGACUCAGCCUGAAGGAGCAUGUCUACAUGACCCACCUGCACAAUCUCCCCACUUGUCAGUAACAGCUGUGAAAUCUGCCCCUGUUGUCUUUAGAAACUGAAAGAUGGAAAAGAUCUCAGAUGCUGUGACCCCCAUGUAACAGAUGGAGGAAUUGAAUCCAAGAGAUGAAGUGACCACUUUGCCUAAAAUCAAAUAGCCAUGUAGCAGCCGAGCUAAAACAAACAUUCAGUCCUCCUGAAUCCUAACUCAGUGAUUUUCUCUUAAUAUCAUAUAAUAACAUCCAUUGUUUUCCUGAGUCUCCCCUAUCAUUUUACUAUUCUUCUUGAUCCAUUCAUAUUAGUUUUUUUUUCUUUUUUGGAUUAAAGGUGACCUUAAUCAAAAUUUGAUAUUUACAUAAGUAUGAUAUAAAAUAACUUAUAUCUAUAUUUAAUAAUUUCUUAUUUUAGUUGAUGCUUUCAAAAACUGCCAGAAAACAGAUUUUUUUGCCACAAGCAGUUACAGUUUCAUCUUCAUAUUCCCUCUCUUAACAUGCUGAAAAAUUAAGCAUACAUAGAAAUGCUAAUUAGAGUUGUCUUCCUUGUCAAUGCUGUGAUUUAUAUUUGACCUGUUUCCUAUCAGAUUUGCCACAAGCUAGAAUCUUCUGAGGAUUUCUGCUUCAUAUAUAUUCUCUACCAUUCGGCAGACACUAAUAAAGAGUGUCAAAAUCCUGGCAAGAAAAUGUUUCUUAAAGUCAUAGCUGAUGCUAGACACUAAGUAAGUCAAGUUUCCUAUUCCAUAGUGAAAAAGAAAAAAAGCUUUUACGUCUAAAUUCAGUUUCAGUAAAAGGGAAAGCCUUAUAUCCAGGUCAAGAUCCAAUCCACUAAGAUUUGAAUCUAUUGAGAUAUUAUAUCUUAGAAUUCAGAGCUUAGCAUGCUUAAUAUUUAGAAACAUGUUAAAAAGUUAAAAGUGCUGCACAGUUAGAAUGACUUCACUGCAAAGGUGAAUAUUUUCAAAGGAUUCUGAUUCCAUUUUGACAGCUUUCUUUACUUGACACUCAUAGGCCCCACACUUACUAAAGGGCUGAGUUGGUACCACAGCACUGAAAGGUACAUCCUUUGGUUAUUAAAAGGAGUAUGAUGAAAAGUGUUACUUGGGAACAUGUGGGACUUCCUCUUGAUUGAUUAAAAAAAUACUGUUUUCCUCCCUCACUGAUAAUCUCACUCCAUGUUGCCAAUAUUAUAGCAGUUUUCUGUAUGAUUUCUUACUUGAAAACGCUAUGGUAGAAGUGAGAGUCUGAGUUUUUUUCCUGGCUCACUCUUAAAUGUAUCCCCAAUAUCUCUUUCAUUUUCUAAACUGGGGAGGAAAUUAGGACCCCAGCUUCCAACUAUCUUAACUGUAUUCAGUAAAACUUUUUUUCUACUUAAAAAAUUAUCUAAGUUAACUGGAAUUGGAAAUGUUUAAAAAAAUUGAAAAUAGAAUCUUAAAUAAAUUUAGAAAGAUCUCACUUUAUCAUUAAGAAUACUAACUAUAAAUGUGAUCAAUAAACAUUUUUUAUUAAACACCAAAUAAUUAUAAGCAUUGGUUUAUAAUUUUACAUGGCUCAAGCAAAAUGAAAAUUUUUAAAUAAGAUACAGAAUAUUUCAAAUUUUCUCUUUCAUUUUCUGCAAGGUAUCUAGUCCUAAUUUGGGAAAGCCAGAAACUUUCUGUAAAGUUAUAGAGAAACUUUUUAAGUGUCCAGUGCCACUAAAUUUUAGCAUAGACAUGUGCGCUGAAAAAAAUCUAGAGUUAUACCCAAGAAAAUGUUUUUGUGCUAAAGUUUAAAUUACAGAGAGUAGAACUCUUCAUCUGAGGUUUUUCACUGCCUUAAGAGAUUGAGAGGGAUUCAAUGCUGCCACGUGAGCCAGCCACACAAGCGAACACUCCUACAACAGAGGAUGCAGCAGUAAGGCAACUUCUUGGAAGCCAAGAUGGAGCCCUUACCAGACAUCAAACCUGCUGGUGCCUUGAUCUUGGACUUCACCUCCAGAACU